This 1318-nucleotide long non-coding RNA is filed under the name Sparus aurata (gilthead seabream). RNAcentral describes it as "lncRNA (ENSSAUG00010002138.1)". The record is from RNAcentral. Lineage: Eukaryota; Metazoa; Chordata; Actinopteri; Spariformes; Sparidae.
UUCAGUCUGUUAAACUUUCUCUGAUGGAGUCCAAACUGACGGACGGACUGAACAGAACCACAGGUCAAGACUGAGUCACAAUUCCACUAAUCACUGAUGUAUCAGUUAAUCUGAUCGGUCUGUACUGAAGAUUUUAAACCUAGACUCUGUAGAUGUUCAGAUAAAUACCGACUGUUGUGUUGAUCAGCUCUGGAGGUCCGACUGAGAUCUGCUGAGACACACCUGGAACACCUGGAACACAUGGAGCACCUGGAGCAACUGGAACACCUGGAACACCUGGAACACUUGCAGACGGAGAACACAGUUCAGUCCGAUCGACUUUCCCUGAUGGAGUCCAGACUGACAGACGGACUCAACAACACCAAAGGUCCACUUGGAUUUAUAUUAAUAUCACAUUUUGACAUCGUCUGUCCAGAUAUUGAUUAGUUAAUGGUUAUUUAUAAUUCGUACUUUACUGAAGAGAUCAAACUGUUGUGUUGAUCAGCUCUGGAGGUCCGACUGAGAUCUGCUGAGACACACCUGGAACACCUGGAGUACCUGGUGAAUCACACUGCAGGUAACAUCACCAUCCCACUAAGCUUCAGUCCAAAGCAUAGUUCAUCAUUAUGUAAGUACAUUGAGAACUGGUCCUGAACCGGUCCUGAACCGGUCCUGAACCGGUCCUGAACUGGUCCUUCUGACAUGGAAGGUAAUCUUAAGGGUGCUUUAAUGGAAACCACAGAGGAGGAAACUCUUGGUGGAUCUCAGAAGAACUUUAUGUUCUGCAGGUUGUUAAAUGUUUUAAGUGUUUUCAGUAGGCGAGGUGGAGCUGUCGGCCGUCACCGCGAGGCUGAUGGUCACGGAGCAGCAGCUGGACGAGCUGACGGCUGAACUCUCAGACAGACUGACGGCAGCUGACAGACACGCUGAAGGUACCAUCCCUUCUCUAUCGCAACGUUUCUGUGGUUAUUACAAUACUAUAGAAAAUAGAAAAGCUGUUCAUCAGAUGUGUUUCCUGUCAGAUCUGCAGGUCCGACUGAGCGCCACUGAGGCUGCAACCCACCAGCUGAAGACCCUCAACCAGGGUAGAGUCCAGAAUACGACAUGAAGCUGCCUGUGACCAGUGUCAGUCCAACAGUACCAGAAAUGUUCAGUGACCUCCAUGUUGUUUUUUCUCUCCGCAGAUCAGUCCGCCCUGCUGACAGAAAUCCGGUCCAGACUAGAUGCUACAGAGAGCCUCAGCUCAGGUGAGUCUUCAAGGUUCAGGUGUUAAUGGAAGAGAUGUGACAGAACAUGUCAGCACUGAGUUUGGGUUUUGUGAACUUUGCAGUUUUUAACA